RNAcentral lists this unclassified non-coding RNA (1312 nucleotides) under Leishmania donovani. Its description in RNAcentral is "gene:LdHU3.36.4240(CDS-product:PHF5-like_protein_ putative)". Lineage: Eukaryota; Euglenozoa; Kinetoplastea; Trypanosomatida; Trypanosomatidae. The record is from RNAcentral.
UUCUCUUCAUCUCGGUCACCAACGGCAUUCGUCUCUCCGCAACUUUGCCCGCGCUGUCUCUACGGCUUCGCUGCAACUCUCAGAGAAGGAGAGGAGAAGAGGGGGGGAGGGGGCGAGCGCACUGAGAGUGCCGUUCCCGUAACCAAAACGCCGGAAUCAUCGGGGAAAGGAAACCGAGAACCCGGCAAUGCUCCGCCACUCAAAGGAUUUACAGAUGUGCCGCAAGACGGCCGGCACCGCCCUCGGCUACGUGUGCCGCCUGCACGAGGGUCGCUGUGUCAUUUGCGACCUGCAGUUCAGCGAGAUCGUCGACACAAUGCGCGAGGUGCACCUCUGCGAAGACUGCAGUGUACUGGCUGCCGAAGGUGAAGAGGCGUGCAUCAUGUGCGGCUCUCGGCGAGUGACCGAUGUGGCCUACUACUGCUCUUACUGCGUAGCCUUGGAAAAGGACAGGGAUGGCUGCCCACGCGUGUUGAACCAGACGCGCCAGCAGCGGUUGGCUGCUCUCCGUGCCGCUGUAUCGCAGUGAUUCGGGUGUGGAAACAUGAAGGGGGGGGGCGUUGAGCGUGUGUGCUCGCAUUCGUGUGGUGCGUGCCUCUGCUCCCUUUACUCCCCCUCCUCGCCGAAUCCACAUGGUCUGCUGAUCUCCUUUUGUUCUGAUUUGUCUUGUUCGGUUGGCGCUUGUCUCUGGGUGCGCUUCUCCCGCCUGCUGGCAAGGAUGGCCGAGCCGAAGUAAGGGUAAACUGCACCGUCUUGCAGCGAAUUCCGUUGCUCCAGAGGGCGGCACGGUGGGAGAGCAAACAAGCCCAUGGCGAUGCAGCCGCGCGUCUCAGCAGUGAUCACGUCGGGAAGCUGGGCAAAAUGCGCACUCAACCAUCUCGCGACCUCCGUGACAUGGGUGGAUAAGGCGUCUUCGAACGCAAAUUCUAUCUUCGCAACGUACAUAACUCGAUGGGCGCGCGUUUCUGGUGAAUCGGCCGGGCGCGUGCUCCCUCUUGGCUCUACGCAAAGACAGAAGCAUGGAAUCUCUAACGGGAUGCGAGUUCAAGGGAAAAUAGGAAUGGCCACACAAUUCGACCGCACCGCGUGGAACCAUGAAUGGAGAGAGGGAUGGGGCAUGUGCCGCAUCUCAGCGCAGCUGCGGGGCUGGGGGAGGAGGUCACGCUGUCGCUAAUACGCCAUCCACGCCUGUCCCACCCUCUUUGCGGGACACUGUUUGCAUGCCGCCAAACUCUCUGAAUUUGUCAUACUCUCUACGUGGCCUGCCUGCACUCCUUCUUCUCCACCCCACUUCCUUUCCUCCUGUGCGCAG